RNAcentral lists this ribosomal RNA (162 nucleotides) under Tragia urens. RNAcentral describes it as "5.8S ribosomal RNA". It matches the Rfam family "5.8S ribosomal RNA". Rfam says of the family: 5.8S ribosomal RNA (5.8S rRNA) is a component of the large subunit of the eukaryotic ribosome. RNAcentral also lists the same sequence under 1 other name. Lineage: Eukaryota; Viridiplantae; Streptophyta; Magnoliopsida; Malpighiales; Euphorbiaceae. The record is from RNAcentral.
AACGACUCUCGGCAACGGAUAUCUUGGCUCUCGCAUCGAUGAAGAACGCAGCAAAAUGCGAUACUUGGUGUGAAUUGCAGAAUCCCGUGAAUCAUCGAGUUUUUGAACGCAAGUUGCGCCCGAAGCCUUUUGGCCGAGGGCACGUCUGCCUGGGUGUCGCGC